This 253-nucleotide ribosomal RNA is filed under the name uncultured bacterium. Its description in RNAcentral is "partial 16S ribosomal RNA". It matches the Rfam family "Bacterial small subunit ribosomal RNA", at positions 524 to 776 of the family's 1533-position model. The record is from RNAcentral.
UACGGAGGGUGCAAGCGUUAUCCGGAUUCACUGGGUUUAAAGGGUGCGUAGGUGGAUUAGUAAGUCAGUGGUGAAAUCUCCGGGCUUAACCCGGAAACUGCCAUUGAUACUAUUAGUCUUGAAUACCGUGGAGGUCAGCGGAAUAUGUCAUGUAGCGGUGAAAUGCUUAGAUAUGACAUAGAACACCAAUUGCGAAGGCAGCUGGCUACACGAGCACUGACACUCAGGCACGAAAGCGUGGGGAUCAAACAGG